This 556-nucleotide ribosomal RNA is filed under the name Saldula brevicornis. RNAcentral's name for it is "SSU rRNA". It matches the Rfam family "Eukaryotic small subunit ribosomal RNA", at positions 425 to 905 of the family's 1831-position model. Lineage: Eukaryota; Metazoa; Arthropoda; Insecta; Hemiptera; Saldidae. The record is from RNAcentral.
GCAGCAGGCACGCAAAUUACCCACUCCCGGCACGGGGAGGUAGUGACAAAAAAUAACGAUACGGGACUCAUCCGAGGCCCCGUAAUCGGAAUGAGCACACUUUAAAUCCUUUAACCAGGAUCUAUUGGAGGGCAAGUCUGGUGCCAGCCGCCGCGGUAACUCCAGCUCCAAUAGCGUAUAUUAAAGUUGUUGCGGUUAAAAAGCUCGUAGUUGGUUCUGUGUCCCACGCUGUUGGUUCACUGCCUGUCGGUGCAACUGGCAUGUCGUGGGAUGUCCUGUCGGUGGCGUCCGGGGUCUUCGGAUAAGUUCCUUCGGGUGCUUUCCGUUGUUCUUCCGGUCGCCGACUCAAUCCUGCCGCGGUGCUCUUUACUGAGUGUCGAGGUAGGCCGACACGUUUACUUUGAACAAAUUAGAGUGCUUAAAGCAGGCUGAAUCCUGCCAGAAUAGUGGUGCAUGGAAUAAUAGAACAGGACCUUGGUUCUAUUUUGUUGGUUUUCGGAAUCCAAGGUAAUGAUCAAUAUGGACAGACGGGGGCAUUCUUGGCAAAUGCUUUCGC